AGAAUGACUGCUCCCCGCAUGAAACGGGGGGCGACCUUUGCAUGGACGCGCGCAGCCCCUGGAUCUGGAGCGGCUCCAUUCAGCAUAGGCUUGGCUUUGCCUUCCCUCAGGUGGGAUACCUGGAGGUCUCCGCCUACCCCAGUCAGUUGUCCAAUCCCACCUGGGGGAAGCGUUGCCAAGGAGAUCAGGCCAGGUGGGGGAGGGAUUACCUGCCCACACAAUAGAGGGAGGAUCUUACCUGGGAAUCCUCACUUGGCUCCAGAGCUUCUCCCACCCUACCCACCCUCAGUUAAUGCCUUAUUUUGCAGGUUAACUUUUCUUCACAGGUUUUGCAGGUUAACUUUUCUUACAGGUAUGCGGGCGCUGCUACGUUAAGGUCGCUGUUAAAGGGCAGGAAAGGAAUUUCCCUGCAUUGGCAGGUUUCGCCUUUCCCGUAGCAAAACGUCACAACUUUGGCAGUAUCAGGCCUUGGGUGGAAUCCUUUUGUCCAUCUUCCUCUUGCAGCAGCGAUACCAGGGUUCCCCGUUAAAGGGGUUUCUGAAGGGAGGCUUUGACCGUACGCCGAAAGGUCGUCAUUGCUCUCCCCUGCGGCGGUGGCGUAACGGGGGGUGGCUAUCUCUGCUUGAACAUAUGUUCUCCAGAGCCGGCCCAUCCCCCACACAAACACUGGAUAACCCUGAUGCUCCCUAGGUCCCCGGCUGGGGACUGGGGAGGGAGAAUGCCCAAUGCCUGAGCCAAGGUCUACCCACAUUUGAAAUUUAAUAAAGUUGUGGCCAAUUUAAUCCCAU
Molecule: non-coding RNA, 788 nt
Organism: Podarcis lilfordi (Lilford's wall lizard)
Lineage: Eukaryota; Metazoa; Chordata; Lepidosauria; Squamata; Lacertidae
Source: the annotation of a GenBank genome assembly